CAGAUUGAACGCUGGCGGCAGGCCUAACACAUGCAAGUCGAACGGUAACAGGAAGCAGCUUGCUUCUUUGCUGACGAGUGGCGGACGGGUGAGUAAUGUCUGGGAAACUGCCUGAUGGAGGGGGAUAACUACUGGAAACGGUAGCUAAUACCGCAUAACGUCGCAAGACCAAAGAGGGGGACCUUCGGGCCUCUUGCCAUCGGAUGUGCCCAGAUGGGAUUAGCUUGUUGGUGGGGUAACGGCUCACCAAGGCGACGAUCCCUAGCUGGUCUGAGAGGAUGACCAGCCACACUGGAACUGAGACACGGUCCAGACUCCUACGGGAGGCAGCAGUGGGGAAUAUUGCACAAUGGGCGCAAGCCUGAUGCAGCCAUGCCGCGUGUAUGAAGAAGGCCUUCGGGUUGUAAAGUACUUUCAGCGGGGAGGAAGGGAGUAAAGUUAAUACCUUUGCUCAUUGACGUUACCCGCAGAAGAAGCACCGGCUAACUCCGUGCCAGCAGCCGCGGUAAUACGGAGGGUGCAAGCGUUAAUCGGAAUUACUGGGCGUAAAGCGCACGCAGGCGGUUUGUUAAGUCAGAUGUGAAAUCCCCGGGCUCAACCUGGGAACUGCAUCUGAUACUGGCAAGCUUGAGUCUCGUAGAGGGGGGUAGAAUUCCAGGUGUAGCGGUGAAAUGCGUAGAGAUCUGGAGGAAUACCGGUGGCGAAGGCGGCCCCCUGGACGAAGACUGACGCUCAGGUGCGAAAGCGUGGGGAGCAAACAGGAUUAGAUACCCUGGUAGUCCACGCCGUAAACGAUGUCGACUUGGAGGUUGUGCCCUUGAGGCGUGGCUUCCGGAGCUAACGCGUUAAGUCGACCGCCUGGGGAGUACGGCCGCAAGGUUAAAACUCAAAUGAAUUGACGGGGGCCCGCACAAGCGGUGGAGCAUGUGGUUUAAUUCGAUGCAACGCGAAGAACCUUACCUGGUCUUGACAUCCACGGAAGUUUUCAGAGAUGAGAAUGUGCCUUCGGGAACCGUGAGACAGGUGCUGCAUGGCUGUCGUCAGCUCGUGUUGUGAAAUGUUGGGUUAAGUCCCGCAACGAGCGCAACCCUUAUCCUUUGUUGCCAGCGGUCCGGCCGGGAACUCAAAGGAGACUGCCAGUGAUAAACUGGAGGAAGGUGGGGAUGACGUCAAGUCAUCAUGGCCCUUACGACCAGGGCUACACACGUGCUACAAUGGCGCAUACAAAGAGAAGCGACCUCGCGAGAGCAAGCGGACCUCAUAAAGUGCGUCGUAGUCCGGAUUGGAGUCUGCAACUCGACUCCAUGAAGUCGGAAUCGCUAGUAAUCGUGGAUCAGAAUGCCACGGUGAAUACGUUCCCGGGCCUUGUACACACCGCCCGUCACACCAUGGGAGUGGGUUGCAAAAGAAGUAGGUAGCUUAACCUUCGGGAGGGCGCUUACCACUUUGUGAUUCAUGACUGGGGUGAAGUCGUAACAAGGUAACCGUAGGGGAACCUGCGGAUGGAACACCUCCU
This 1516-nucleotide ribosomal RNA is filed under the name Escherichia fergusonii. RNAcentral's name for it is "bacterial SSU rRNA". It matches the Rfam family "Bacterial small subunit ribosomal RNA". The record is from RNAcentral. Lineage: Bacteria; Pseudomonadati; Pseudomonadota; Gammaproteobacteria; Enterobacterales; Enterobacteriaceae.